This 429-nucleotide ribosomal RNA is filed under the name Chloroflexota bacterium. Its description in RNAcentral is "Chloroflexi bacterium partial 16S ribosomal RNA". It matches the Rfam family "Bacterial small subunit ribosomal RNA", at positions 355 to 776 of the family's 1533-position model. The record is from RNAcentral. Lineage: Bacteria; Bacillati; Chloroflexota.
UGGGGAAUAUUGCACAAUGGGCGCAAGCCUGAUGCAGCCAUGCCGCGUGUAUGAAGAAGGCCUUCGGGUUGUAAAGUACUUUCAGCGGGGAGGAAGGGAGUAAAGUUAAUACCUUUGCUCAUUGACGUUACCCGCAGAAGAAGCACCGGCUAACUCCGUGCCAGCAGCCGCGGUAAUACGGAGGGUGCAAGCGUUAAUCGGAAUUACUGGGCGUAUAGCGCACGCAGGCGGUUUGUUAAGUCAGAUGUGAAAUCCCCGGGCUCAACCUGGGAACUGCAUCUGAUACUGGCAAGCUUGAGUCUCGUAGAGGGGGGUAGAUUUCCAGGUGUAGCGGUGAAAUGCGUAGAGAUCUGGAGGAAUACCGGUGGCGAAGGCGGCCCCCUGGACGAAGACUGACGCUCAGGUGCGAAAGCGUGGGGAGCAAACAGG